Molecule: small nuclear RNA, 104 nt
Organism: Microtus ochrogaster (prairie vole)
Lineage: Eukaryota; Metazoa; Chordata; Mammalia; Rodentia; Cricetidae
Source: RefSeq, a predicted model, not a curated record
GUUUUUCGCUUCGGCAGCACAUAUACUAAAAAAUUGGAAUGAUACAGAGAAGAUUAGCAUGGCCCCUGCUUAUGUAUAUUUUAAAAAACCACUUAGAGGUUUUU